CCUACGGGUGGCAGCAGUGAGGAAUAUUGGUCAAUGGACGAGAGUCUGAACCAGCCAAGUAGCGUGAAGGAUGACUGCCCUAUGGGUUGUAAACUUCUUUUAUAUGGGAAUAAAAUGUUCCACGUGUGGGAUUUUGUAUGUACCAUAUGAAUAAGGAUCGGCUAACUCCGUGCCAGCAGCCGCGGUAAUACGGAGGAUCCGAGCGUUAUCCGGAUUUAUUGGGUUUAAAGGGAGCGUAGGUGGAUUGUUAAGUCAGUUGUGAAAGUUUGCGGCUCAACCGUAAAAUUGCAGUUGAAACUGGCAGUCUUGAGUACAGUAGAGGUGGGCGGAAUGCGUGGUGUAGCGGUGAAAUGCUUAGAUAUCACGAAGAACUCCGAUUGCGAAGGCAGUUCACUGGACUGCAACUGACGCUGAGGCUCGAAAGUGUGGGUAUCAAACAGGAUUAGAUACCCUUGUAGUC
This 460-nucleotide ribosomal RNA is filed under the name uncultured bacterium. Its description in RNAcentral is "partial 16S ribosomal RNA". It matches the Rfam family "Bacterial small subunit ribosomal RNA", at positions 338 to 795 of the family's 1533-position model. The record is from RNAcentral.